This 368-nucleotide long non-coding RNA is filed under the name Mytilus galloprovincialis (Mediterranean mussel). The record is from RNAcentral. Lineage: Eukaryota; Metazoa; Mollusca; Bivalvia; Mytilida; Mytilidae.
GUUGAUUUUAGCUGUUAUAUCAGUGUCGAUGUAUACAAUGUCAUGGUCACCAAUGCCUGGUAAUGGCUCGCAUCGAUUCACUAAUGAAGGCCGAUUUGUUAGAAAUAGGUCUAACGUGUGGUUUUUUCUUGUUGGAAAAGUGACUAUCUGUUCCAGGUGGUUGUCUUGUACUAGGUCGAGGAAAGUACUGUUUAUUCGUAUUGGAUUUUGAUGGUCCGUGAUAGAUUGUGUUUUCCAGCAUAUAUCGGGUAGAUUUAUAUCACCCCAAAGCCAAACAACUGAUGAUCUGUUUUUUCUUAUCAAGUUGUCUACUGUAAGUUUAAUUUUCUCCAUGUAGUUAAUGUCACUGCUAGGUGGUCUGUAAAUAC